AACAGGAUUAGAUACCCUGGUAGUCCACGCCGUAAACGAUGUCGACUUGGAGGUUGUGCCCUUGAGGCGUGGCUUCCGGAGCUAACGCGUUAAGUCGACCGCCUGGGGAGUACGGCCGCAAGGUUAAAACUCAAAUGAAUUGACGGGGGCCCGCACAAGCGGUGGAGCAUGUGGUUUAAUUCGAUGCAACGCGAAGAACCUUACCUACUCUUGACAUCCAGAGAACCUAGCAGAGAUGCCUUGGUGCCUUCGGGAACUCUGAGACAGGUGCUGCAUGGCUGUCGUCAGCUCGUGUUGUGAAAUGUUGGGUUAAGUCCCGCAACGAGCGCAACCCUUAUCCUUUGUUGCCAGCGGUUAGGCCGGGAACUCAAAGGAGACUGCCAGUGAUAAACUGGAGGAAGGUGGGGAUGACGUCAAGUCAUCAUGGCCCUUACGAGUAGGGCUACACACGUGCUACAAUGGCGCAUACAAAGAGAAGCGACCUCGCGAGAGCAAGCGGACCUCAUAAAGUGCGUCGUAGUCCGGAUUGGAGUCUGCAACUCGACUCCAUGAAGUCGGAAUCGCUAGUAAUCGUGGAUCAGAAUGCCACGGUGAAUACGUUCCCGGGCCUUGUACACACCGCCCGUCACACCAUGGGAGUGGGUUGCAAAAGAAGUAGGUGGCUUAACCUUCGGGAGGGCGCUUACCACUUUGUGAUUCAUGACUGGGGUGAAGUCGUAACAAGGUAACC
RNAcentral lists this ribosomal RNA (730 nucleotides) under uncultured bacterium. Its description in RNAcentral is "bacterial SSU rRNA". It matches the Rfam family "Bacterial small subunit ribosomal RNA", at positions 771 to 1501 of the family's 1533-position model. The record is from RNAcentral.